This is a long non-coding RNA of Carassius auratus (goldfish), 1585 nucleotides long. The record is from Ensembl. NCBI's taxonomy places the organism in Eukaryota, Metazoa, Chordata, Actinopteri, Cypriniformes, Cyprinidae.
AUGCCACGUUUCUGCAGCCACGUCUCAGACAGAUAUCAAAACCUUCGUCAUCUUUCUCCGAAAAUACAUACUAGCCCUUGCAGCCUAAUUUCAGUUCCCUAUUUCGUAAGGUCAGCAGAUUGUAUGUUCAAAGUCCAACUGUCCUACCUCAGAAGAUUAAUCGUCUGGUUCUCUUUUGUUAAGAACCCACAGGGGGGGGGGGGGGUUCGAAUGACUCCAAAUAACAGACGUGUGAUGGAAUAUAAACGUCUCUGAAUCAUGCUGUUUUUAGAAGUAUAAACAUUUCGUGGAAAUCUUUUAUCUUUAACUUUUCUUAUUUCCAUAUUGAUAUAGAAGUCUUCUAAGUCUAAAGUUCAGCUGAGGCCUUCAGCACAGGCUGUCCUGUACUUUUAAGCACGUAGCAAAUGCACACAUGACAGAAGUCAAAAAUUGGGUUACACCAGAAGCCAUACAGACAGACAGAAUGAAAGACAGAAUUGUAGAUAGAACAGCAGAAUGAUAGAACAAUAGAUAGAACGAUACAUUAGAUAGGUGGAUGGAUGGAUAUGAUUUGUUGAAUUUUGCACAUGACACCUUCAGUGGUUAUCAACUUAUUAGUAUUUAAUAGUAAAUAUAAUUGGCACUGAGGACUCAAAAUGUGAUGAGGCCUUUUGCAGUUUAUGUUCCACACCUUUCUGCAACUGCAUUUUGGAACAAACAGGUAUUACGGUUCAUAUUAACCCAACGUGCACCACAGUUUUUGUACCCUGGGAAAGGCCCAUCUCCCCAAGGGCUUGCUGGGCCAAUCUGGUGGUGUUGUUCCUAACCCUGGGAAUCCUUGUCCACAUUGUGCACACAGUGAGAAAGGUAAUCCGGACGGAUGGUCUCCAUGAAUCACCACCACAUUAAGAGUUUCAGCCCUCUCAUUAUCCUGUACCACAUUCCCCCCAGGGGGCCAGUACUGUGCCUGAGCCUCACCACAUACAGCCGCUCAUUACCAAUCUGCCAACCGAGGCCUGGCUCGACCAGAGUCUCUGGCCUUACACAGGUAAGGGGCCUGGUUCCUUUCUCCACCUCCAUACAACAUCCACAGACUCAAGGGUGAACAGAAACAGCAUGUCUUUCAAAGUGGCGCUGCAGGUGUCACCAUCCCAGAAUCCACCAGCAGAACCCCUCCCCUCACAUUUCCUGUCUAGAAACACAGAGGCUGAUGGGAGAGCCUGGAAUAAUGGUGUUUGCCUCGCUUGCACAUAUUCCCUCAUGAGAAUUUAUAUUCCCACAAUUUUGAGAUACUGAUAUUGGUGGGAGAGUUUGGGUUAAAUGCCACUCUACCAAUUAGGUUUUUUUUUUUCCCCUAGGAUGUUUCCCAAGGCAAGGAUGUCUGUCUGUCUGUGAUGUCUUUUAUAAAAGCCUCUUCCUGCAAAAAAAGGAAACAUAUUUCCUUUUAAUUUCUUUCUAAUGUUCCAAAGUGUUUUUCUGAGUUUGUAUUGAAACGUAGUGACAAAGUUUGAAACUAGGCUCAAUUGUAAUUUAGGAGCAGAAACGAAAACCUUUUUCUUUUAAGAAUCAGGAAAUGGUUCACUUGGUAAUAUUGCUGAAAUCAGUG